Molecule: ribosomal RNA, 255 nt
Filed under: Pseudomonas sp. PDM07
Lineage: Bacteria; Pseudomonadati; Pseudomonadota; Gammaproteobacteria; Pseudomonadales; Pseudomonadaceae
Description: partial 16S ribosomal RNA
Rfam family: Bacterial small subunit ribosomal RNA
Source: RNAcentral
CGGGAGGCAGCAGUGGGGAAUAUUGGACAAUGGGCGAAAGCCUGAUCCAGCCAUGCCGCGUGUGUGAAGAAGGUCUUCGGAUUGUAAAGCACUUUAAGUUGGGAGGAAGGGCAGUUACCUAAUACGUGAUUGUUUUGACGUUACCGACAGAAUAAGCACCGGCUAACUCUGUGCCAGCAGCCGCGGUAAUACAGAGGGUGCAAGCGUUAAUCGGAAUUACUGGGCGUAAAGCGCGCGUAGGUGGUUCGUUAAGUU